CUCAGGAUGAACGCUAGCGGCAGGCUUAAUACAUGCAAGUCAAGGGGGUAGCAAUACAACCGGCGCACGGGUGAGUAACGCGUACACAACAUACCAUAUACUGGAGUAUAGCUUUGGGAAACUGAAGGUAAUCCUCCAUAACAUUGCGAGAGGGCAUCUGAUUGCAAUUAAAGUUUCGGCGGUAUAUGAUUGGUGUGCGUUUGAUUAGCUAGUUGGUAGGGUAACGGCCUACCAAGGCGACGAUCAAUAGCUGGCGUGAGAGCGCGACCAGCCACACUGGAACUGAGACACGGUCCAGACUCCUACGGGAGGCAGCAGUAGGGAAUAUUGGACAAUGGAGGAAACUCUGAUCCAGCCAUGCCGCGUGAUAGAUGAAGGCCCUCUGGGUUGUAAAUAUCUUUUAUCUGGGAAGAAACACUCCUAUUCUUAGGAACUUGACGGUACCAGAGGAAUAAGCACCGGCUAACUCCGUG
This 473-nucleotide ribosomal RNA is filed under the name uncultured bacterium. RNAcentral's name for it is "bacterial SSU rRNA". It matches the Rfam family "Bacterial small subunit ribosomal RNA", at positions 23 to 507 of the family's 1533-position model. The record is from RNAcentral.